GUUCUUCCGGUCGAGGCCUCCUC
Molecule: non-coding RNA, 23 nt
Filed under: Cricetulus griseus (Chinese hamster)
Lineage: Eukaryota; Metazoa; Chordata; Mammalia; Rodentia; Cricetidae
Source: RNAcentral